GGGACUGGGGCUCAGUGGUAGAGCGCUCACCUGCCACAUGUGAGGCACUGGGUUCAAUCCUCAGGAUCACA
This 71-nucleotide transfer RNA is filed under the name Marmota monax (woodchuck). Its description in RNAcentral is "tRNA.Gly". Lineage: Eukaryota; Metazoa; Chordata; Mammalia; Rodentia; Sciuridae. The record is from RNAcentral.